CCUGCUCUAUCUUCCUAAUCUGCUUUGCUCCACGGUUCAAUUUCUUGUUGGAUUUGGGACUGAUUGUUCCAACUAGAUCGACUAUGCUCCUGGGAUCCAGUUAUUAGCUACUGUAUGUAUGUCUCUACUAAUGCACACUAAAUGAACUGAAUGCUUUACAGCGUGCACAUUGCCACUAGUAACCUGCCACCACACGCACAAGCUCUCAUUAUUUUGUUUCCUAUUUAAUCUGGGACUAUUCCAGACUUUGCAACCAUGUACACUACUCACAUGAGAGGUAUAACAUACACAGGUGUUGUCUUAAGUUAAUUCUUUGGUUGAUGUCCAGGAUUAACAAGUAAACCAAAUAACAGCAUGUUUUCCUUUGCACCUGUACAUGUCCAUCAGCAUGUUUAUAUUAGUUACUUUGAUGCAAUUGUGACAUCUUUGGUUAUCUUUGUUGUUGCAAGCAUUGGGUUCACUUGUCCAUGUCCAUGUUCAUUUCCAGCAAAUGUAUAUGUGAAGUGCAUUGUAUGUAUGAGAUAAAUUCUGCUCCUUCCGUCCAUAAAAGGCUGUCGGAGAUUUAUCUAAAUUCGGAUGUGUCUAGAUGCAUCCAAAUUUAGAUAAACUCGCGACAUCCUUUUAUGGACAGAGGUAGUAGCAAAGAGUGGUUAGAACUAUCAUUUAUCUUGCUUCUGUAGUCUGUAGUCUGUCUCUCCCUCGUGUGACUCCGAAUAUGUAUAGUUGAUCAUGAACUUGAUUUCCAAUAAUAGCUGUUUUAGCCAUCGAGUCAAUGCCCUGUAUAGGGCCAUUGAGCCGUUGGACUUUAAGAAAUUUUUGGUGUUUUACUGGUACUGGGAUGUGUGGUUGCAGGUGUAGUUGAUCUUGUCAACGUUAAACAUGCUAGUCGAAUUGGAUUGUACUAUGUUUGAAUGUCUAGAGGCAUGCUGUAUGUACUCUACUGUCAUUUGUAUUAUGGUCUGGAUGUCCAGAGAAGGGCAAAGAUCAUGGCUGAAUUUUGAACACUUGCUAAUUAAACUUGCAGUGUUUUAGUAAGUUUAACUCUUAGUGGCUUUGAAUCGAUAGUAUUUGGCUGUUGCUGGUGAUGAAGUAGGUGCCACUGCAAUUUAUUUGGCCAAGUUGACAGUUGUCAUUAACUGCAAUUUAUUCGUGAAUAUUUAUCAUCACAUUUUCGCCACUAGCUGCUGCUCUGACUAUUUCUUGAUAUUUCAUUGGCAUGCCUGUGAACAUGUGUUUUCUGACACUAAUGAAAAGCGUGCAAAUUCUAUUUGCAGGAUAGUGGCCUUCUUCCUCUAUAUGCGUCUAGGUAUGUUUAGGUGAGUAUCCCUGCUGUGAUAUACAGUGGCAUCUAGAGCCACGGCUAAAGUGUGAUCCGGCCAUCGAGGAGAUGGCGAUGCUGGUUUAGGUUCAGUUUUGGUAGUUGUGUAACCAGGACGUGGUCCUGGCACUAAGUGCUGUUCUAACCGAUUCUUUGGUUGACGCUUUCAUUACGAAUCUUGCCUAUUUCAGUUGUAUGUGUAUUUUUGGGCUUCGACCAAGUUGCUGUGAUGUGCAAUGUUGCAACAUAGCAAUACUAUUGAGGUCCUGAAUAGCAUAAGUUUCAGGAGCAUUUGGGGUCUCCAUUAUAUUUUGUCUUGACCUGGGCAUAUAUAUAUAUCAUCUGUAGCUAGCUACCUGCACAGAAUGAAGUAGCUACCUGUGGCUGUACCUACUCUGUUGGUGUUCCUGUAAUAGAUGAGAUUGAGGCGUCUCAUUUUCUGUAAAGAAGUGAAGCUGCAUCUGUGAGUUUAGAAUCAGAGACAUUAGACUGAAAUGUCCUUAUAUGCUUUCUUGCCACUGAUUGUCCUUGAUUUGGUUUGGCGUAUACAAGAUCAAAGAUUUGUGCCUUGCAUGGUAUUGUGUGGUAGUUGAGUAUUUUCAUGGCUCCACGAGCUUAUCUUACACGAUAUCCUUGACUGUGAACAGGUUGACGUGCCGUUUUCUGAAUGCUGGAGAUGAGCACUUGCACCUUCAGCUGGUGGAACCAGAAGCGGAGGCUGAUUGUCUCCACCUGGUGGAACCAGAAGUUGUAUGCGGAAGGUAGGCAGCGAAGUUUAGGACUGAGAAGCGGAGCUGGUAGCGGUGGUUUAGGUGGGUAUCCCCCUGCUGUGAUAUAGAGUUGGCAUCUAUAGGCACGGCUGAAGUGCCAUCGAGGAGAUGAGGACGAUGCUGGUUUAGGUAUAGUUUUGGUAGCUGUGUAACAUGGUCCUGGUACUAAGCGAUGAUGUAUCCAUUUCUGUGGUUUAAUUAUGGAUUUGUGCCUAUUUCAGUUCUUUUUUGGGAUUUGACUUGUGCAAUGUUACAGCAUAGCAAUAUUUGUGGAGGUCGAGCAUUUGGUCUCCUUUA
Long non-coding RNA from Lolium rigidum, 2385 nucleotides. RefSeq lists it as uncharacterized. The record is from RefSeq and is a predicted model, not a curated record. The transcript is spliced from 2 exons. NCBI's taxonomy places the organism in Eukaryota, Viridiplantae, Streptophyta, Magnoliopsida, Poales, Poaceae.